RNAcentral lists this ribosomal RNA (373 nucleotides) under uncultured organism. RNAcentral's name for it is "bacterial SSU rRNA". It matches the Rfam family "Bacterial small subunit ribosomal RNA", at positions 526 to 896 of the family's 1533-position model. The record is from RNAcentral.
CGGAGGGUGCAAACGUUGCUCGGAAUCAUUGGGCGUAAAGCGCACGUAGGCGGACUGUUUAGUCGGAUGUGAAAUCCCUCGGCUUAACCGAGGAAGUGCAUUCGAAACUGGCAGUCUUGAGUAUGGAAGAGGGUCGCGGAAUUCCCGGUGUAGAGGUGAAAUUCGUAGAUAUCGGGAGGAACACCAGUGGCGAAGGCGGCGACCUGGGCCAAUACUGACGCUGAGGUGCGAAAGCGUGGGGAGCGAAACAGGAUUAGAUACCCUGGUAGUCCACGCUGUAAACGAUGAGUGCUAGAUGUCGCGGGUAUUGACCCCUGCGGCGUCGCAGCUAACGCGUUAAGCACUCCGCCUGGGGAGUACGGCCGCAAGGCUA